GAUCAAGCGCGUUAAGGGCAUUUGGUGGAUGCCUUGGCACUGAGAGGCGAUGAAGGACGUAGCACGUUGCGAUAAGCCACGGGGAGCCGCGAGCAGGCUUUGAUCCGUGGAUUUCCGAAUGGGGAAACCCCACCGUAAGGUGAUCCUUAUCUGAAUACAUAGGGUAAGGAGGCGAACCCGGGGAACUGAAACAUCUCAGUACCUGGAGGAAAGGACAUCAACAGAGACUCCGCUAGUAGUGGCGAGCGAACGCGGACCAGGCCAGUGGUACUUAAUCUUCGAACCAGAACUGUCUGGAAAGGCAGGCCAUAGUGGGUGAUAGCCCCGUAUGGGUAGGAAGGUUUUGUAUCCUUGAGUAGGGCGGGACACGAGAAAUCCUGUCUGAACAUGGGGGGACCACCCUCCAAGCCUAAGUACUCCUCAAUGACCGAUAGUGAACCAGUACCGUGAGGGAAAGGUGAAAAGCACCCCGAUGAGGGGAGUGAAAUAGUACCUGAAACCGAAUGCCUACAAGCAGUGGGAGCCUUUGCGUGGCAACACGUAUGGGGUGACCGCGUACCUCUUGUAUAAUGGGUCAGCGAGUUCGUCUUACGAGCGAGCUUAAGUCGAUAGAUGAAGGCGUAGCGAAAGCGAGUCUUAAUAGGGCGACCAUAGUUCGUAGGAUGAGACCCGAAACCGGGUGAUCUAUCCAUGGGCAGGCUGAAGGUCGGGUAACACCGACUGGAGGGCCGAACUCGUAUCCGUUGAAAAGGAUUGGGAUGACCUGUGGAUAGGGGUGAAAGGCCAAUCAAACUCGGAAAUAGCUGGUUCUCCGCGAAAUCUAUUUAGGUAGAGCGUCGGGAGUUCACCGCCGGGGGUAGAGCACUGGAUGGGCUAGGGGGGAGCGAUCCUUACCAAACCUAACCAAACUCCGAAUACCAGCGGUUUAGAUCCCGACAGACAGACUGUGGGUGCUAAGGUCCAUGGUCGAGAGGGAAAGAGCCCAGACCGCCAGCUAAGGUCCCCAAGUCAUGGCUAAGUGGGAAAGGAUGUGGGAAGGCCAAGACAGCCAGGAGGUUGGCUUAGAAGCAGCCAUCCUUUAAAGAAAGCGUAAUAGCUCACUGGUCUAGUUAAGCCGUCCUGCGCCGAAAAUGUAACGGGGCUAAAGCCAUGCACCGAAGCUGCGGGUGUGAUCAGGGUAGCGUCCCUGUUCACGCAGUAGCGGAGCGUUCCGCAAAUCUGUGAAGGUGUGGCGUGAGCCAUGCUGGAGAUAACGGAAGCGAGAAUGCUGACAUGAGUAGCGAUAAACAGUGUGAGAGACACUGUCGCCGUAAGUCCAAGGGUUCCUGCGCAAGGUUAAUCCGCGCAGGGUGAGCCGGCCCCUAAGGCGAGGCCGAAAGGCGUAGUCGAUGGGAACCUGGUUAAUAUUCCAGGGCCUGUUGGAAGUGACGAAUGCCGUAUGUUGUUACCACUUAUCGGAUUGUGGUGGCCGCGAAGGUGUUCCGGGAAAUAACUCCAACGUAUAGACCGUACCCUAAACCGACACAGGUGGACUGGUAGAGUAUACCAAGGCGCUUGAGAGAAUGGUGUUGAAGGAACUCGGCAAAUUGCCCUCGUAACUUCGGGAGAAGAGGGCCCCAUCUAUGGGCAACCAUGGGUGGGGGGCACAGAGCAGGGGGUGGCGACUGUUUAACAAAAACACAGGGCUCUGCGAAGUCUUUAAGACGACGUAUAGGGUCUGACGCCUGCCCGGUGCUGGAAGGUUAAGAGGAGGGGUGCAAGCUCUGAAUCGAAGCCCCAGUAAACGGCGGCCGUAACUAUAACGGUCCUAAGGUAGCGAAAUUCCUUGUCGGGUAAGUUCCGACCUGCACGAAUGGCGUAACGACUUCCCCACUGUCUCCAACACCAACUCAGCGAAAUUGAAUUCUCCGUGAAGAUGCGGAGUACCCGCGGUUAGACGGAAAGACCCCAUGCACCUUUACUAUAGCUUUGCAGUGGUAUUAGGGAAUGAAUGUGUAGGAUAGGUGGGAGCCUAUGAAGCGCUGGCGCCAGUCAGUGUGGAGGCAACCUUGAAAUACCACCCUUUCGUUCUCUGAUAUCUAACCGCGUCCCGUUAUCCGGGACCGGGACCCUGCAUGGUGGGUAGUUUGACUGGGGCGGUCGCCUCCCAAAGAGUAACGGAGGCGCGCGAUGGUGGGCUCAGGCUGGUCGGAAAUCAGCUGUCGAGUGCAAUGGCAUAAGCCCGCCUGACUGCGAGACUGACAAGUCGAGCAGAGACGAAAGUCGGUCAUAGUGAUCCGGUGGUCCCACGUGGACGGGCCAUCGCUCAACGGAUAAAAGGUACGCUGGGGAUAACAGGCUGAUGACUCCCAAGAGUCCAUAUCGACGGAGUCGUUUGGCACCUCGAUGUCGGCUCAUCACAUCCUGGGGCUGGAGCAGGUCCCAAGGGUAUGGCUGUUCGCCAUUUAAAGUGGUACGUGAGCUGGGUUCAGAACGUCGUGAGACAGUUCGGUCCCUAUCUGCCGUGGGUGUUGGAGUAUUGCGAGGAUUUGCCCCUAGUACGAGAGGACCGGGGUGAACGUACCUCUGGUGUACCGGUUGUCGUGCCAACGGCAUCGCCGGGUAGCUAUGUACGGUCGGGAUAACCGCUGAAAGCAUCUAAGCGGGAAACCCACCUCAAAACUAAUACUCCCUAUGAGAGCCGUGAGAGACCAUCACGUUGAUAGGCCGGGUGUGGACGUGCAGUAAUGUACGGAGCUAACCGGUACUAAUCGCUCCACUGGCUUGAUCUU
Molecule: ribosomal RNA, 2771 nt
Filed under: Rhodospirillaceae bacterium
Lineage: Bacteria; Pseudomonadati; Pseudomonadota; Alphaproteobacteria; Rhodospirillales; Rhodospirillaceae
Description: 23S ribosomal RNA
Rfam family: Bacterial large subunit ribosomal RNA
Source: RNAcentral